RNAcentral lists this ribosomal RNA (495 nucleotides) under uncultured bacterium. RNAcentral's name for it is "partial 16S ribosomal RNA". It matches the Rfam family "Bacterial small subunit ribosomal RNA", at positions 28 to 523 of the family's 1533-position model. The record is from RNAcentral.
GAUGAACGCUAGCGGGAGGCCCAACACGUGCAAGCCGAGCGGUAUUUGUCUUUCGGGACAGAGAGAGCGGCGUACGGGUGCGGAACACGUGUGCAACCUGCCUUUAUCAAGAGGAUAGCCUUUCGAAAGGAAGAUUAAUACUCUAUAAUAUAUUGAUUGGCAUCAGUUAAUAUUGAAAGUUACGGCGGAUAAAGAUGGGCACGCGCAAGAUUAGCUAGUUGGUGAGGUAACGGCUCACCAAGGCGAUGAUCUUUAGGGGGCCUGAGAGGGUGAUCCCCCACACUGGUACUGAGACACGGACCAGACUCCUACGGGAGGCAGCAGUGAGGAAUAUUGGUCAAUGGGUGCAAGCCUGAACCAGCCAUCCCGCGUGAAGGACGACUGCCCUAUGGGUUGUAAACUUCUUUUGUAUAGGGAUAAACCUCUCCUCGUGAGGAGAGCUGAAGGUACUAUACGAAUAAGCACCGGCUAACUCCGUGCCAGCAGCCGCGGUAA